Molecule: ribosomal RNA, 326 nt
Filed under: uncultured bacterium
Lineage: Bacteria
Description: bacterial SSU rRNA
Rfam family: Bacterial small subunit ribosomal RNA
Source: RNAcentral
GACGAACGCUGGCGGCGUGCUUAACACAUGCAAGUCGAGCGGUAAGGCCCUUUCGGGGGUACGACGAGCGGCGAACGGGUGAGUAACACGUGGGUGACCUGCCCUCAGCUCUGGGGAUAAGCCUGGGAAACUGGGUCUAAUACCGGAUAUGACUUCGCAUCGCAUGGUGUGGGGUGAAAGUUUUUCGGCUGGGGAUGGGCCCGCGGCCUAUCAGCUUGUUGGUGGGGGUGAUGGCCUACCAAGGCGACGACGGGUAGCCGGCCUGAGAGGGCGACCGGCCACACUGGGACUGAGACACGGCCCAGACUCCUACGGGAGGCAGCAGU